RNAcentral lists this ribosomal RNA (252 nucleotides) under uncultured bacterium. Its description in RNAcentral is "partial 16S ribosomal RNA". It matches the Rfam family "Bacterial small subunit ribosomal RNA", at positions 525 to 776 of the family's 1533-position model. The record is from RNAcentral.
ACGGAGGGUGCAAGCGUUAAUCGGAUUUACUGGGCGUAAAGCGUGCGUAGGCGGUUUGAUAAGUCAGAUGUGAAAGCCCCGGGCUCAACCUGGGAACUGCAUUUGAUACUGUCAGACUAGAGUUUGGUAGAGGGUAGUAGAAUUCCUGGUGUAGCGGUGAAAUGCGUAGAUAUCAGGAGGAAUACCAGUGGCGAAGGCGGCUACCUGGACCAAAACUGACGCUGAGGUACGAAAGCGUGGGGAGCAAACAGG